UACGGAGGGUGCAAGCGUUAAUCGGAAUUACUGGGGGUAAAGCGUGCGCAGGCGGCUUUGCAAGACAGAUGUGAAAUCCCCGGGCUCAACCUGGGAACUGCAUUUGUGACUGCAAGGCUAGAGUACGGCAGAGGGGGAUGGAAUUCCGCGUGUAGCAGUGAAAUGCGUAGAUAUGCGGAGGAACACCAAUGGCGAAGGCAAUCCCCUGGGCCUGUACUGACGCUCAUGCACGAAAGCGUGGGGAGCAAACAGG
This 253-nucleotide ribosomal RNA is filed under the name uncultured bacterium. Its description in RNAcentral is "partial 16S ribosomal RNA". It matches the Rfam family "Bacterial small subunit ribosomal RNA", at positions 524 to 776 of the family's 1533-position model. The record is from RNAcentral.